GUGUCAGCCGCCGCGGUAAGACGAACCGUACAAACGUUAUUCGGAAUUACUGGGCUUAAAGGGUGCGUAGGCGGCCCGGGAAGUUGGGUGUGAAAUACCUCGGCUUAACCGAGGAAUUGCGCUCAAAACUGCCGGGCUUGAGGAAGAUAGAGGUGAGCGGAACUUAGGGUGGAGCGGUGAAAUGCGUUGAUAUCCUAAGGAACACCGGUAGCGAAAGCGGCUCACUGGGUCUUCUCUGACGCUGAGGCACGAAAGCUAGGGGAGCGAAGAGGAUUAGAUACCCUCGUAGUCCUAGCUGUAAACAAUGAGCACUGGUUUGGAGGGUCCUCCAUAGCCCUCCAGACGUAGCGAAAGUGUUAAGUGCUCCGCCUGGGGAGUAUGGUCGCAAGGCUGAA
Molecule: ribosomal RNA, 395 nt
Filed under: uncultured bacterium
Lineage: Bacteria
Description: bacterial SSU rRNA
Rfam family: Bacterial small subunit ribosomal RNA
Source: RNAcentral